AUCCAGCUGACGAGUCCCAAAUAGGACGAAACACGAGUCCUGGAU
Molecule: non-coding RNA, 45 nt
Organism: Schistosoma mansoni
Lineage: Eukaryota; Metazoa; Platyhelminthes; Trematoda; Strigeidida; Schistosomatidae
Source: Rfam